UACGGAGGGUGCGAGCGUUGUCCGGAAUCACUGGGCGUAAAGGGCGCGUAGGCGGCCUGAUAAGUAGGGGGUGAAAUCCUGCGGCUUAACCGCAGGGCUGCCUUCUAAACUGUCAGGCUAGAGCACAGUAGAGGCAGGUGGAAUUCCCGGUGUAGCGGUGGAAUGCGUAGAGAUCGGGAAGAACAUCAGUGGCGAAGGCAGCUCACUGGGACGGUAUUGACGCUGAGACGCGAAAGCGUGGGGAGCAAACAGG
This 253-nucleotide ribosomal RNA is filed under the name uncultured bacterium. Its description in RNAcentral is "partial 16S ribosomal RNA". It matches the Rfam family "Bacterial small subunit ribosomal RNA", at positions 524 to 776 of the family's 1533-position model. The record is from RNAcentral.